RNAcentral lists this ribosomal RNA (425 nucleotides) under uncultured bacterium. Its description in RNAcentral is "partial 16S ribosomal RNA". It matches the Rfam family "Bacterial small subunit ribosomal RNA", at positions 354 to 796 of the family's 1533-position model. The record is from RNAcentral.
GUUAGGAAUAUUGGACAAUGGGCGAAAGCCUGAUCCAGUCAUGCCGCGUGAACGAUGAAGGCCUUCGGGUUGUAAAGUUCUUUAGCCGAUGAUUAUAAUGACUGUAGUCGGAAAAUAAGCCCCGGCUAACUUCGUGCCAGCAGCCGCGGUAAUACGAAGGGGGCGAGCGUUAUUCGGAAUCACUGGGCGUAAAGCGUGCGUAGGCGGUUUUGUAAGUUAGGAGUGAAAGCCCAGGGCUCAACCUUGGAAUUGCUCUUAAAACUGCAAGGCUCGAAUCUCGGAGAGGAUAGCGGAAUUUCCAGUGUAGCAGUGAAAUGCGUAGAUAUUGGAAGGAACACCAGUGGCGUAAGCGGCUAUCUGGACGAUUAUUGACGCUGAGGCACGAAAGCGUGGGGAUCAAACAGGAUUAGAAACCCCUGUAGUCC